AACGUAGGACGCAAGCGUUAUCCGGAGUUACUGGGCGUAAAGCGCGUGUAGGCGGUCUGCCAAGUCCGGCGUGAAAGCGCCCGGCUCAACCGGGCGAGGUCGUUGGAGACUGGCGGGCUGGAGGGCGGCAAAGGAGCAGGGAAUUCCGGGUGUAGUGGUGAAAUGCGCAGAGAUCCGGAGGAACACCAGUGGCGAAGGCGCUGCUCUGGGCCGCGACUGACGCUGAGGCGCGAAAGCAUGGGGAGCGAACGGG
This 253-nucleotide ribosomal RNA is filed under the name uncultured bacterium. RNAcentral describes it as "partial 16S ribosomal RNA". It matches the Rfam family "Bacterial small subunit ribosomal RNA", at positions 524 to 776 of the family's 1533-position model. The record is from RNAcentral.